RNAcentral lists this long non-coding RNA (210 nucleotides) under Gossypium raimondii (Peruvian cotton). RNAcentral's name for it is "long non-coding RNA (GRAI_LNC009312)". Lineage: Eukaryota; Viridiplantae; Streptophyta; Magnoliopsida; Malvales; Malvaceae. The record is from RNAcentral.
AACUCUAAACCCUAAACACAUUGUAAUUGAAAAAAGGAAAUUACGAAAAAAAGGAAAAAAAUUGAGGAUAAAAAAAAGUAUGAAGUAAAAAAAAUUCAAAAAAAAAGUGAAGUGUUGGAAUUUUUGUUUAUUCAUUCUUUGUGUUUCCCGAUCAAGUGAGUUCCCCUACACCUUUACAAUCUAUCCCUUGAAACCAACUUGAAAACCGAC